GUUUGAUCCUGGCUCAGGAUGAACGCUAGCGGCAGGCUUAACACAUGCAAGUCGAGGGGUAACAUUGUAGCUUGCUACAGAUGACGACCGGCGCACGGGUGCGUAACGCGUAUAGAAUCUGCCUUCUACAGAGGGAUAGCCUUUAGAAAUGAAGAUUAAUACCUCAUAACACUUUGGAAUGGCAUCGUUUUAAAGUUAAAGAUUUAUCGGUAGAAGAUGACUAUGCGUCCUAUUAGCUAGAUGGUAAGGUAACGGCUUACCAUGGCAACGAUAGGUAGGGGUCCUGAGAGGGAGAUCCCCCACACUGGUACUGAGACACGGACCAGACUCCUACGGGAGGCAGCAGUGAGGAAUAUUGGGCAAUGGAGGCAACUCUGACCCAGCCAUGCCGCGUGCAGGAAGACUGCCCUAUGGGUUGUAAACUGCUUUUAUACAGGAAGAAACGUACCUACGAGUAG
Molecule: ribosomal RNA, 458 nt
Filed under: Tenacibaculum maritimum
Lineage: Bacteria; Pseudomonadati; Bacteroidota; Flavobacteriia; Flavobacteriales; Flavobacteriaceae
Description: bacterial SSU rRNA
Rfam family: Bacterial small subunit ribosomal RNA
Source: RNAcentral